Molecule: non-coding RNA, 502 nt
Organism: Notechis scutatus (mainland tiger snake)
Lineage: Eukaryota; Metazoa; Chordata; Lepidosauria; Squamata; Elapidae
Source: RefSeq, a predicted model, not a curated record
AGGAUAUCCACUUUGUUGGCCUAUAAGAUCCCAAUGGAAGAUGCCCUGCCUCUCUCUAGAGCCUUUGCCAUGCUGGAAGAAGCUAAACAGCACUUCAGUCUUGAAGAGUACAGCUUUUCUUUGAACACUUUGGAACAGGUAUUCCUGGAACUGUGCAAAGAACAUGAGCGAGAUUAUUUUGAAUCGGGUCCAACUUCUGAAUGGAGAGAACUGUAGCAUCAACAAGAUAGUUGAAAGACUGAUCAACAACCAAGGCAAACACACCAGUUUCUUCCACCAGGAAAAAUGGAGGGCAAAUAGGUUGAGCACUGAGGAAUGUUGUGCCUGGACAUCCCCUGGGGAAAAAAAAUUCUGUAAUCUUCUCUAUGUUUAUAACAAGUAUGCCUAGUUGUCUGCGAGAAAGAUUAACCCUCAUAUUUAUCGUAUCUAGAGAUAUAACAUUUUUGAAUAUUUCACAACUAACAGCAAAACAAAUGUUUCUGCACUAUUUUGUUUUCAUGAG